CAGGUGGUGCAUGGUUGUCGUCAGCUCGUGUCGUGAGAUGUGGUUAAGUCCCGCAACGAGCGCAACCCCUAUUGUUAGUUGCCAUCAUUCAGUUGGGCACUCUAGCGAGACUGCCGGUAAUAAACCGGAGGAAGGUGGGGAUGACGUCAAAUCAUCAUGCCCCUUAUGACCUGGGCUACACACGUGCUACAAUGGUUGGUACAACGAGUUGCGAGUCGGUGACGGCGAGCUAAUCUCUUAAAGCCAAUCUCAGUUCGGAUUGUAGGCUGCAACUCGCCUACAUGAAGUCGGAAUCGCUAGUAAUCGCGGAUCAGCACGCCGCGGUGAAUACGUUCCCGGGCCUU
This 344-nucleotide ribosomal RNA is filed under the name uncultured Streptococcus sp. RNAcentral's name for it is "bacterial SSU rRNA". It matches the Rfam family "Bacterial small subunit ribosomal RNA", at positions 1035 to 1382 of the family's 1533-position model. Lineage: Bacteria; Bacillati; Bacillota; Bacilli; Lactobacillales; Streptococcaceae. The record is from RNAcentral.